Molecule: ribosomal RNA, 617 nt
Filed under: Exophiala salmonis
Lineage: Eukaryota; Fungi; Ascomycota; Eurotiomycetes; Chaetothyriales; Herpotrichiellaceae
Description: eukaryotic LSU rRNA
Rfam family: Eukaryotic large subunit ribosomal RNA
Source: RNAcentral
GCAUAUCAAUAAGCGGAGGAAAAGAAACCAACAGGGAUUGCCUCAGUAACGGCGAGUGAAGCGGCAACAGCUCAAAUUUGAAAUCUGGCCUCUUUGGGGUCCGAGUUGUAAUUUGUAGAGGAUGUUUCGGGUACCGCCUCGGUUUAAAUUUCUUGGAACAGAAUGUCAGAGAGGGUGAGAAUCCCGUCUUGGACCGGCGGUAGGGCCCAUGUGAAACUCCUUCGACGAGUCGAGUUGUUUGGGAAUGCAGCUCAAAAUGGGUGGUAAAUUUCAUCUAAAGCUAAAUAUUGGCCAGAGACCGAUAGCGCACAAGUAGAGUGAUCGAAAGAUGAAAAGCACUUUGAAAAGAGAGUUAAACAGUAUGUGAAAUUGUUGAAAGGGAAGCGCUUACAACCAGACUUGCGCGCGGCGGUUCCCCCUUCCUUUUGGUUGGGCUACUCCGUCGUGUCCAGGCCAACAUCGGUUCUGGGGGUCGGUUAAAGACCCUGGGAAUGUAUCUACCCUUCGGGCGUAGACUUAUAGCUCAGGGUGUCAUGCGACCUCCCGGGACCGAGGAACGCGCUUCGGCUCGGAUGUUGGCGUAAUGGUUGUCAGCGACCCGUCUUGAAACACGGACC